This 253-nucleotide ribosomal RNA is filed under the name uncultured bacterium. Its description in RNAcentral is "partial 16S ribosomal RNA". It matches the Rfam family "Bacterial small subunit ribosomal RNA", at positions 524 to 776 of the family's 1533-position model. The record is from RNAcentral.
UACGGAGGGUGCAAGCGUUGUUCGGAAUUAUUGGGCGUAAAGCGCGUGUAGGCGGUUUGUUAAGUCUGGUGUGAAAGCCCUGGGCUCAACCUGGGAAGUGCAUUGGAUACUGGCAAACUUGAGUACGGGAGAGGAUAGUGGAAUUUCGAGUGUAGGGGUGAAAUCCGUAGAUAUUCGAAGGAACACCGGUGGCGAAGGCGGCUAUCUGGACCGAUACUGACGCUGAGGCGCGAAAGCGUGGGGAGCAAACAGG